GAUGAAGAACGUAGCAAAAUGCGAUAAGUAAUGUGAAUUGCAGAAUUCAGUGAAUCAUCGAAUCUUUGAACGCACAUUGCGCCCGCCAAUAUUCUGGCGGGCAUGCCUGUUCGAGCGUCAUUUCAACCCUCAAGCACAGCUUGGUGUUGGGACUCGCGUUAAUUCGCGUUCCCCAAAUUGAUUGGCGGUCACGUCGAGCUUCCAUAGCGUAGUAGUAAAACCCUCGUUACUGGUAAUCGUCGCGGCCACGCCGUUAAACCCCAACUUCUGAAUGUUGACCUCGGAUCAGGUAGGAAUACCCGCUGAACUUAAGCAUAUCAAUAAGCGGAGGA
Molecule: unclassified non-coding RNA, 332 nt
Filed under: soil metagenome
Description: partial contains 5.8S ribosomal RNA, internal transcribed spacer 2, and large subunit ribosomal RNA
Rfam family: 5.8S ribosomal RNA (bases 1-120)
Source: RNAcentral